GGAAGGGUGGCAGAGUGGUCUAUCGCGGCGGUCUUGAAAACCGCUGAGCCCGCAAGGGUUCCGGGGGUUCGAAUCCCUCCCCUUCCGCCA
This 90-nucleotide transfer RNA is filed under the name Candidatus Didemnitutus sp. Its description in RNAcentral is "tRNA-Ser". It matches the Rfam family "tRNA". Rfam says of the family: Transfer RNA (tRNA) molecules are approximately 80 nucleotides in length. Their secondary structure includes four short double-helical elements and three loops (D, anti-codon, and T loops). The record is from RNAcentral. Lineage: Bacteria; Pseudomonadati; Verrucomicrobiota; Opitutia; Opitutales; Opitutaceae.